This 253-nucleotide ribosomal RNA is filed under the name uncultured bacterium. RNAcentral's name for it is "partial 16S ribosomal RNA". It matches the Rfam family "Bacterial small subunit ribosomal RNA", at positions 524 to 776 of the family's 1533-position model. The record is from RNAcentral.
UACGUAGGGUGCGAGCGUUAAUCGGAAUUACUGGGCGUAAAGCGUGCGCAGGCGGUUUUGUAAGCCAGAUGUGAAAUCCCCGGGCUUAACCUGGGAAUGGCAUUUGGGACUGCAAGGCUGGAGUGCGGCAGAGGAGACUGGAGUUCCUGGUGUAGCAGUGAAAUGCGUAGAUAUCAGGAGGAACACCGAUGGCGAAGGCAGGUCUCUGGGCUGACACUGACGCUCAUGCACGAAAGCGUGGGGAGCAAACAGG